RNAcentral lists this small RNA (117 nucleotides) under Marmota monax (woodchuck). The record is from RNAcentral. Lineage: Eukaryota; Metazoa; Chordata; Mammalia; Rodentia; Sciuridae.
GCUGGGCUUGGUGACGCAGGCCUCUAAUCCCAGCAGCUCGGGAGGCUGAGGCAGGAGGAUCGUGAGUUCAAAGCCAGCCUCAGCUAAACCAAGGUGCUCAGUGGGACCCUGUUUCUA